GUACUGUAGUUCAGAGAGAGCACUCAAUCAGCUUAGAGAGCACUCAGUUGGCUGAGAGAGCACACUGUCAAGUGAAAGAGGACCGGUCAUCUGAGAGAGCAGCCCAAUCAGUAGAGAUCACCCAAUCAGCUAAGAGAGCACCCGAUCAGCGUAGAGCACCCAGUCAGCUGAGAAAGAACCCAAUCAGCAGGCAGCACCCAGUCAGCUGAGAAAGAACCCAAUUAGCAGAGAGCACCCAGUCAGCUGAGAGAGCACCCGAACAGCAGAGAGCACCCAGUCAGCUGAGAAAGAACCCAAUCAGCAGGCAGCACCCAGUCAGCUGAGAAAGCACCCAAUCAGCAGAGAGCACCCAGUCAACUGAGAGAGCAUCCCGAUCAGCAGAGAGCACUCAGUCAGCUGAUAGAGCAUCCAAUGAGCAGAGAGCACCCAGUCAGCUGAGAGAGCACCCGAACAGCAGAGAGCACCCAGUCAGCUGAGAGAGCACCCAGACUGUUGCCAGAUAGGGAAUAGUUCUAAUUUAUUCAGGCAGAAUUUUCUUGCCAAAUAGUUGUUCAAAAAAGGAGAUGUAUGUAUCAAGAAGACACAGAAACCAACGCGUUUCAUCCUAAAGGACUUCCUCAGGGAGGAGGGGAGAUCGGAAGAUGAAGUAAGCCAGAGGUCAGAGACCCAGAAGGAAGCUGGAUGAGAUGGUGACACACAGAAGGAAUGGUC
Molecule: long non-coding RNA, 711 nt
Organism: Pseudophryne corroboree (corroboree frog)
Lineage: Eukaryota; Metazoa; Chordata; Amphibia; Anura; Myobatrachidae
Exons: 3
Source: RefSeq, a predicted model, not a curated record